GAAAAUUUUAUUUUCACUUCUGGCUUCAGAAGUUUCAGUCCAUGAUCAGCGGGCUCCAUUGCUUUAGGGCUAUGGCAAAGCAGAAGUAUCAUGGUGGAAAGAUACGGUAGAGAAAAUCUGUUCACUCCACGGCAGCCACCUAGCAGACGGUAAGGGGAAGAACCAGAGAGGGAAUGACCAGGGAUGAAGUAACCCCCACCGUCAGGCCCACAGGGCCCACUCUCUUCUACUGAACCCCACCUCUAAAGUUUCCAUUACUUCUCGGGCAUGGCAUCAUGCAUUAUCUCAUCAGCAAAUUAAUCCACUGAUGAAAUUAGAGCCCUGAUAGUCCAAUUGCUUUGUAAAGGGUCCACCUCUGCCCACUUGAGAUUUGACGGAUAUUUUAGACAUGAACCAGAACAGAUGUUUUACCACCUAUUUGGGGAUUCCUUGGCCCUGCUAAAUUGCCUUGCAAAGUUAAUUUUCACAACAGCAAGGAGAAAGAACUCAUAUGAAUUAGCCGAAAUACAGUUCCCUCCUGGGCUUUGUUUCCGCACUUGUAUCAGAAUGAAAAAACACGUUAGAAACGCAAAACCGAUCUCCCUAACUGUCCUGCGCAUGACACGGUGACGACAUGCGCACAGACGUUGCCCAUUUCAGACUGUUCCGGACUGCGCUCAGGUUUCUACUGUCGAUCUGCGCCGCGUGGUCUUACUUUGUGCUGAUACAUCGGGGAAAAUUAGAAAACAAUAAUGCAUAUAAUGGAGAUGAAUAUAAUGGGUAUAAUUUAGACAGCCGGAAACUUCUCUUGUUGGUUCCUACCAGAUCAUUUGUGAGAAGCUCAGUGAGAGUCUUUUGA
This 838-nucleotide long non-coding RNA is filed under the name Chinchilla lanigera (long-tailed chinchilla). RNAcentral's name for it is "lncRNA (ENSCLAG00000026652.1)". Lineage: Eukaryota; Metazoa; Chordata; Mammalia; Rodentia; Chinchillidae. The record is from RNAcentral.